This 357-nucleotide RNase P RNA is filed under the name human gut metagenome. Its description in RNAcentral is "Bacterial RNase P class A". It matches the Rfam family "Bacterial RNase P class A". From Rfam's summary of the family: Ribonuclease P (RNase P) is a ubiquitous endoribonuclease, found in archaea, bacteria and eukarya as well as chloroplasts and mitochondria. Its best characterised activity is the generation of mature 5'-ends of tRNAs by cleaving the 5'-leader elements of precursor-tRNAs. Cellular RNase Ps are ribonucleoproteins. The record is from RNAcentral.
GGGGGUCCGUCGCUUGUCUUUCCUGUACAGGACAAGAGGAAAGUCCGGGCAACACAGAGCACCACACUCCCUUCGGGGAGCCGGCGGAAACGUCGGAGCAGAAUGACAGAAAACAACCGCCGUCCCCUCCGUGGGACGGUAAGGGUGAAAAGGCGGGGUAAGAGCCCACCGGGCGCGAUGGCGACAUUGCGUGCCGCAUUCCUUUUGGGUUGCAAGGUCAAGUAUACCGGCAUCUAAGGGCUGCUCGUCCAUUGCCGGGGGGUAGACUGCUCAGAUAAAUGACGGACGGUAAAAUUUACGUCGUCGCCCUCCGGGGCGGCGAAACGGAGUUCCCACAUAACCCGGCUUAUACCCGGC